UACGUAGGGUGCGAGCGUUGUCCGGAAUUAUUGGGCGUAAAGAGCUUGUAGGCGGUUUGUCGCGUCUGCUGUGAAAUUUCGGGGCUCAACCCCGAACUUGCAGUGGGUACGGGCAGGCUAGAGUUCGGUAGGGGAGACUGGAAUUCCUGGUGUAGCGGUGAAAUGCGCAGAUAUCAGGAGGAACACCGGUGGCGAAGGCGGGUCUCUGGGCCGAUACUGACGCUGAGGAGCGAAAGCGUGGGGAGCGAACAGG
This 253-nucleotide ribosomal RNA is filed under the name uncultured bacterium. RNAcentral's name for it is "partial 16S ribosomal RNA". It matches the Rfam family "Bacterial small subunit ribosomal RNA", at positions 524 to 776 of the family's 1533-position model. The record is from RNAcentral.